UACGUAGGGUGCGAGCGUUGUCCGGAAUUAUUGGGCGUAAAGGGCUCGUAGGCGGUUUGUCGCGUCGGGAGUGAAAACCCAGGGCUUAACCCUGGGCUGGCUUCCGAUACGGGCAGACUAGAGGUAUGCAGGGGAGAACGGAAUUCCUGGUGUAGCGGUGAAAUGCGCAGAUAUCAGGAGGAACACCGGUGGCGAAGGCGGUGUUCUGGGCCAGUAUUGACGCUGAGGCGCGAAAGCGUGGGGAGCGAACAGG
This 253-nucleotide ribosomal RNA is filed under the name uncultured bacterium. Its description in RNAcentral is "partial 16S ribosomal RNA". It matches the Rfam family "Bacterial small subunit ribosomal RNA", at positions 524 to 776 of the family's 1533-position model. The record is from RNAcentral.